AACAGAGAAUACAAAUUGAAUAAAAAAUAUAAUGAUAAAGGUUCCCAAAAAUCCCUGACUUAUGAAAGAAGGAAUCUGGAGUUAUCCCAAAUAAUUAAAGUACUUUUCACAUAGUUUUUUUUACAUCCAUCAGGAGAGUGUCAUUUCCCCAAAACAUAAAAAAACAGAAGAGCAGCAAUGCUGCUUAACUGUUUAUGCAAUUAUCACCUAACAAUGAAAUAAAUGAAAACACUAUUAAGUGUUUACACAACUUUAACAUUCCUAUUGAGGUGCUGCUGUGUGCUUGUAGCCUUUUAUCCAUUAGAGAUGUUUGAUUUCUGUCAGAGCCAAAGCCCAGAUGAUGUCCACCAACAAAGGCAAUCCUCCAAAUGGAAAUUGUGGGUGAGAAUGUGUUGAUUUUUCCUCAAAAUAAUGCUUAAGCUGUUUCUGUGAUUUUUGCUUCUUUUUUAUCUAUUUUUUCAUUUUUGCAAAAUAGCAGAUUAGCUACAAAUGUAAGGACCAGUCUUAUACUAUGUUUAUGUUCCAUUUUACCAGGAUUUGAACCCAGGACCUUUUUGCUCCAAGACAGCAGUGCUACUGACUCCACCACAUAGCUUCAGUCUAAAAAUGUCUAAUUUAAAUUUUUUUUUUAUUUCUAUUGAUUAUUUUCAAACAUAAAAGUUAUAUUCAAACCUAUUACUGAUUAACUGGACUUUUUGUUAACUUUUUGGCAAUUAAACAAAAACAAACAUAAAUAUACAAAAAUAAAAACACAUAUCCAUUUCUCAUUCACGAGUGAAGCUCACUUCCAACCAAACCAAAAAAGAAUCCCAAAUAAAAUUCAUGUUAUAAUGUCGAAAAAAUCAAUGUCCUUUGUUACUUAUACUUUGAUUUGCUAAUAGUAUGGAAACUAAUUAUAAUUAACCUACCAUGAUUUAAUGAUAAUUGCAAGAAAUAAAGAUGAGGGACCAUCUUUAUUGGUAUUGCAGUGAUUUGUAAACAAGUCCACAAAUCACUGUGGACUUGUUUAUGAUUGGUAACUAUAUAUAUCAACAAGAAAUAAAGUUAUUCAAGCCAUGUGGAAGGCCAAGGAAAAUUCUUUAUGUCAAUUAAGAAAUACUCUUCCUAACCAAGGAUCAACCGAAUAUAGAAACUCUAAAUGUGGCAGCUAAUAAUCUGACAAAACUGUGUGUUUUUUAAUGUCACUGAUUUGAUUCAGCAUGAGACCAUGGCUUGAACCGUUAGGAGGCACUAUCUUACCUCUGAAGUGAUUGAUAAUUUUAUUAAGGGUGUUACCCAAAAUUGCCCUGUUAUUGUCGGGUUCCGGGAUUUUUCUUUAUUUUUGAAUCCUCUUGGUGGUUCACGGGCUGUCCACCAGAUAGCGCCAGAGGCUGGUUUCCAGGGGGAGGUGUGCCUGUAGUUCUGCACACCUGACGAUGAUCUUCUCAUCAUCAGCUGGAGAUGAAAAGACGCUGACAGCCAGCACUUCGACGCUGGAGUGUUUUCGCCAAAACGGUACUCUGAGCCCCUCGGAAUCAGUCUCCGAGUUCGUUUCCUCUGAGUUCCCUCUCGAGUAAUUCGUCGUUUUGUUCUCUGUGCUGUUCAGGUGUUUUCCUCUCGAGUCAUUCCCUGGAUCCUCCCUGAGAGACUUCCGUUGUGGCUUUUGGAUUAAGCCCUCCUCGUGACGCCGUGGAUGGUACCCACAGGUUGCCCGAGUUCCCAUUUCCUCCUCAUCUGUCGGAUCUCAAGAUUCUCCAGUUUCACUUCCUCCGGCUGGCUGUCGGACCCUUCCCUUCAUCAUCGUCGAAUCCAGAACUUACCUGUCCGCCCUCCACCGCCAUCUCCCAGCCUUUGGACCUCGCUCAGCUCUGCUGCCCAUCCGGAACCCGCAGUAUCCACCCUCUCAAUCCGAGACUAUAGCUACUAGAAAUGAGCCGCAGUCAGCAGCAUUCCCCCCCAGUUUGGACCCUACCACGCCAACAUCUUUACUGGGUUAUUGUUUUACAAUAAAUAUUCUUCAACUGAUUCUUUGUCUCCUGUGGUGUUCUGCAUGUGGGCUAGAAACCUAAACCCCAGCAUGACAUAUCUUAUCUGGUUCUUGUGACUCAAUGGUCAGCCAAUUUUUCAACAAACUGAAGUCUAACCUGGACCAUGCAACUUCAUUAGUUUCAAAAAAAGUUUAAUAAACAACUAUGCCCAUGGAAAAAUGAAGAUAUUAACAAAUGUGCUAACACCUUAACAUAUACAAUGCCUCUGUCCAAAAUUCAAGAAAUGAAUAUUUUUGCCAAAAUAUUUAACAGUCACAAAAAUAAUAGCAAUGUUUUGUUUUCCACCACUGAUAAUCUGAUUAACUCUAACUUUACUGAUUAUGCACAGACUCCAACUGACUCUGAACAGUUAGCAAAUCAUUUCAGAGGAAAGAUUUAGUCAAUUAGAGCUAACAUUUUAUCUGAGCAAAAUACUGUUUUUAAAUCUAAUGAAUGUUUGUUUUUACCUCUGGGAACACUGGACCGUUUCUCUGUGGUUGAUCACUGUAAAGUUUUCUCUCAAGUCAAACCAGCCACCUGCCUCUUGGACCCAAUUCCCUCACUUUUUAAUUCAUUUUAUAGAUGUUUUGAGUAUGAGAUUUUAAAUAUUGUAAAUUGCUCUCUUCAGUUGGGAGUCUUCCCCACUUCCUUUAAAAUGGCAGUUGUAAAGCCUCAUCUGAAGAAGCAUAAUGUGGAUCCUAGUGUUUUUAAUAAUUACAGACCUGCAUCCAACUUAUCAUUUUUAAGCAAAUAUUUAGAAAAGCUUUUUUAUUUAAAAAAAAAAAAAACUUUUUAAAAUGACACUGGCAUUUUAGAAAAGUAUCAAUCUGGUUUUA
Xiphophorus maculatus (southern platyfish) is the source of this 2842-nucleotide long non-coding RNA. RefSeq lists it as uncharacterized. The record is from RefSeq and is a predicted model, not a curated record. The transcript has 2 exons. NCBI's taxonomy places the organism in Eukaryota, Metazoa, Chordata, Actinopteri, Cyprinodontiformes, Poeciliidae.